Non-coding RNA from Pseudoalteromonas rubra, 119 nucleotides. NCBI's taxonomy places the organism in Bacteria, Pseudomonadati, Pseudomonadota, Gammaproteobacteria, Alteromonadales, Pseudoalteromonadaceae. The record is from Rfam.
GGUGGCAGGCCCACCGAAAUCUGCUGUCGGAAGCCUGUUUCAAACCACCUCAAGCUACUGUAGUUAAGAGCUAUGGGAGUAAGCGUUGAGGUCAAAGCGCGAACAUACGUUCGGCAGGU